UAGGCCAGCAACUGCAGCUCUGAUUAGACCCCUAGCCUGGGAACUUCCAUAUCCAUGGGUUCAUCCAAAAAAAAAAAAAAUUAGAGCCCCUCUGUGGCUGUGUUGUAGAGCCCCUCUAGUUGGUAAACCCUAAACUCAGCAUCUGGGCCUUAAAGCUAGUUCAUCCCAAUCUAAGUAUUCAGACCUCCCCCCUCCCUAAUUAAGCCAACUCUAAACCAAGCAUCUAGGUCCUCCAAGUUCUGAGCCUCCAUGUCAGGCACCCCUUAACUAGGUACCUCAGUCAUCUGCCUCAGACAUCCCCAUACUAUGCAACUCCAAACUCCAUCAGCCCUAAACCGGGCAGAAGGAAGUCCAGCGACAGUCACCUCAAACCUUGGCAACUAGGCCUUGAGGCUCAGUGAGCCCCCAAAUGUAUAUAAAUAUUAGGAACUCUUAGUAACUCCCACUAAGCAACCAGCACCCUUCAGAUGCCCCCCAAAACUAGGCUUCUGAUACGCAGGAAAGACAGUCCCUCCCCACCUCCCAGGUAUGCAUCUGAAGACACAGUCCCCUGCGUUGCCAAACUUGACAUUGGGGCCCCAGCUGUCAUCCCAAACCAGCAUUUGGACUCCUAGUUGGUCAUGUCAACCUCAGCAUCUGGGCAGCCCAUAAACUGGACAUCUGAGUAGCUGACCCAGAACCUCCCACUGGGCACCAGGAGUUUAUUUUAGGAUGACCUUGAGAGUCAGCUCCACAUGCCUGUUUGAGGGUUCUUCGCUUGAUUUUCCUACUUUUGGGGUCAUGGCCUAUGAGACGCUAAUGGGUUUCUGGCCGAUUCUUUUGGGGGAAAUCAGACUGGGGCCCAGAAGCGCUAAAGAACCUCAUGCCCGGGUUUGGGGAUCCCAGCCCCAAUGCUGCUACCCCAAGGCCAGACUCCUCCUGUGGAUCUUCGCAGGGGUAACCCACUUCUGGGGUGAGUGGUUUGGGGGUCACACUCUUGGCAUCUGUGGUUCCUGAGGGGACUGAGGGGGGCCGGGUGGGGCGGGAGUUGGGGCGCUGCGUCACAGAGCCGGGCUGCGGCCCCCGGGGCUGGCUGUGGCGGGGGUUCCCGCGGGAAGCAGAUCGCAGC
This 1108-nucleotide long non-coding RNA is filed under the name Sus scrofa (pig). Its description in RNAcentral is "lncRNA (ENSSSCG00015039322.1)". Lineage: Eukaryota; Metazoa; Chordata; Mammalia; Artiodactyla; Suidae. The record is from RNAcentral.